UACGUAGGGUGCAAGCGUUGUCCGGAAUUAUUGGGCGUAAAGAGCUCGUAGGCGGUCUGUCGCGUCGGAUGUGAAAAUCCAGGGCUUAACCCUGGGCCUGCAUUCGAUACGGGCAGACUAGAGUUCGGUAGGGGAGACUGGAAUUCCUGGUGUAGCGGUGAAAUGCGCAGAUAUCAGGAGGAACACCGGUGGCGAAGGCGGGUCUCUGGGCCGUAACUGACGCUGAGGAGCGAAAGCGUGGGGAGCGAACAGG
This 253-nucleotide ribosomal RNA is filed under the name uncultured bacterium. Its description in RNAcentral is "partial 16S ribosomal RNA". It matches the Rfam family "Bacterial small subunit ribosomal RNA", at positions 524 to 776 of the family's 1533-position model. The record is from RNAcentral.